RNAcentral lists this non-coding RNA (26 nucleotides) under Homo sapiens (human). The record is from RNAcentral. Lineage: Eukaryota; Metazoa; Chordata; Mammalia; Primates; Hominidae.
GGAACGUAGGAAGAGAGCCUCAGAUA